Non-coding RNA from Rattus norvegicus (Norway rat), 440 nucleotides. The record is from RefSeq and is a predicted model, not a curated record. NCBI's taxonomy places the organism in Eukaryota, Metazoa, Chordata, Mammalia, Rodentia, Muridae.
CUCGCUUUUGAACCGCGGGUGCUCGUUGCUGCGCAACCGCGAGGCCGCUGGGGGCGGAGCUGAGUAGGGCGGGACAAGAAAGGAGGUUCAAACAUUUGGUUCACCCGAGGAAAGUGGUUCAGUUUGUUUCUGGAGUUGUUGGAUUUGUUGGGAUCAAAGCCCCUCUGGCAUCCCCAACAAGCCAGGCUCUGCCGCCAGCUCUCAGUCAGCUUGUUAAACAGAGAAAAUGGUGACAGGUACAGAAAGGAGACAUGUUCAACGUAAUCACAGGGAAGCACGGAAGCAGGGUCAGAGCCGGCUGUAACUGACCAGAAACACCCACAUCUACACAUCGUCUCCACCUACCAAACGAGAGAACAAAAUUGUGCUUUCAUCCUCGCCACCCCCGUGGGAGUCCACAAAUACAUGUGUGUGUGUGAGUAUGCUCAACCCUUACAAAA